CUAAGAAUAUUCCGCAAUGGACGAAAGUCUGACGGAGCGACGCCGCGUGGAUGAUGAAGGCCGAAAGGUUGUAAAAUCCUUUUGAACUGGAAGAAUAAGCAGUGCAGGAAAUGGCAUUGUGGUGACGGUACAGUUUGAAUAAGCAACGGCUAAUUACGUGCCAGCAGCCGCGGUAACACGUAAGUUGCGAGCGUUGUUCGGAAUUAUUGGGCGUAAAGGGCAUGUAGGCGGUUAUCUAAGCUUGGUGUGAAAGGCAGGGGCUUAACUCCUGGACUGCAUUGAGAACUGGAUGACUAGAGUUACUGAAGUGGAAUCAGAAUUCCAGGUGUAGGGGUGAAAUCUGUAGAUAUCUGGAAGAAUACCAAUGGCGAAGGCAGGUUUCAGGCAGAUAACUGACGCUGAGGUGCGAAGGUGCGGGGAGCAAACAGG
Molecule: ribosomal RNA, 429 nt
Filed under: uncultured Treponema sp.
Lineage: Bacteria; Pseudomonadati; Spirochaetota; Spirochaetia; Treponematales; Treponemataceae
Description: bacterial SSU rRNA
Rfam family: Bacterial small subunit ribosomal RNA
Source: RNAcentral